This is a non-coding RNA of Macaca mulatta (Rhesus monkey), 3395 nucleotides long. Lineage: Eukaryota; Metazoa; Chordata; Mammalia; Primates; Cercopithecidae. The record is from RefSeq and is a predicted model, not a curated record.
AAAAAAAAAAAAAAAAAAAGUAGUCUAAAAUUGGGCUGGAUGUUGUGAGAAAACCAUCUAAGAUUAAGAUCCUUCAUGGUAUGCAUUGGAUGUGUUAUUCACUGAAGGACAGGGAGUUGACUUCCAUUUAUUCCUUCUUGCAUUCAUCCACUUACAUCCACUCAUGGGGCACUGUUAUGUUCCAGGCACUAUGCACCUAUUAGUGUAAUGGAGUUGCUUUCUUUUUAGUGCCCAGCCUGACUUGCGUCUUUUGAAACAAUUGUUUAAAAUCCAUAUGAAGGGAUUUACUCACUUUUAGUGUUUUCUUGUCAUCCCUCUUCUGAUUGGAUAAUUCUUCACCAUCUCCCUCUCUGUCUCCACUGUUCUCUUUAGUGAUAAUUACUUCUGCCUGAGGCAGCUAUUUGAAGAGAUCAUCAGUUUUCCUAAAUUCCUUUAUUAUGGCUCAGUUGGGAUUAUCCUGGAAAAAUGAACCUGCAAUUUCCCAUCACACCUUAAAGAACUGGGUUCUCCCUUUUGCUGCUGGAAUCAGGAGAAUGUUGCAGAGGAAUUGCAUUCCUGGUAACACGAUAACCCAGCAAGACUCAGACUGCUAACCCAAGGAUCAACUAUUAAGGCCGUAAGAUUGAAGAAGCUGAAUAAUUGGAUUCCAUUUAGCUGGACUAAUUUUAUGCUGAGAAUUUCAGGGGAUUUUAUCUGCCUUUUGAUCUCUUUACAAUGGUUAUAGUAAGCUCAUAGUAAGAGGCAUAACCGUCUCUUAGGGGUGCAAAUUAAGUAAGUCCCUACACUCUCAUCUACAAGGGAGGGCUGUGGAUAGACCCCAUUAGGGAUAUUCUGUUUUUUUCUAUGCAUUGUAGUCAGUCCAGGUGCCAGAUUUGUUGGGGUGACCUGCCAUGUAUGUGAUACUUUAAAUACAUCUUACUUGAUGAGAGUUACUAUUGGUCUUAUUUCACAGAGAAGAUAACUGAUACUUAGACUGGUUAAAUAACCACCAGGCUCCAGGUGUAUGGGCCUUUGCACUGCAUCAUGCUCCUUAAUAGAGAGAUGGGGCUGUUGCAUCAGGAAAAUAGUUCUUGGAAAGCAAGGAAAUACUUGUCCAGAGAGAGAGAUAAUGAGCACCCAGAGAAAAGACAUGAGUGUGAGCCAACUUAUGUUCAGAGCAAUCCCAAAGGGGAGUGUUUGUGCAUAUAUGUGUGGAUCUAUGAGAGGCAUGAGAUUGGUGUUGUAUCGCCAUUUUCCUGAUGGGGAAAUUGAGUGACACAGAUUAUGUGGCCAUAGUCAAUGUUCAUUUUAUGUGGCAGUUGUGCUUCUGGAAAUAAUCUCACAGAUAAAGUUGUAAGAUGGGAGAAUCCAAUAUCAUGUAAUAUGUUUUCACAGAAGCUGCAGAGUGAAUUUUUGCAUUUUAUCAACACUAAUGUUCAGAUUAGUUUGGACGCUUUUAUAAAAUAAAUCAUGACUGUCACACAUUGACCCUUCUAAACCUGCUCAGCUCGGUUUUCUGCUGAUUGUCGGUAUUGAGCUCACUUCUGUAAAACCGAUGAGAUUGCUACUUUUAGCUUCAUUUAUUUUUAGGUUUUUUUUUUUUUUUCUUCUGAAGCUAUAUUGAAACUUAUGUAAAAAUCUAACUGAAGCAUAUAACAAGCACUGGUGUAUGCUUGCCUGGGAGCUGCCCCGGAGCAAGAGGAGACAGUCUUGUCUUAUCAAGUAUGAGAGGGUGCUGGAGGUUUCUUAGUGGUUUUCUUCAAAGUUGUAUGUUGAGGAUAUAUAACACUUGCAAAGAAAAAAAUACAAAUAUAGGGAAAGUCAGAUGUAUAUGGUAUGUAAAUGAUUUCUUAAUGGGCUCUUAGUGAAUCCUGAAGAACCCAUUCUCUUCAAUUUUACCUUUUUAAAAAGUGUCUUCUGUUAUUUGCAUUUAGAGAGUUUCUGUCGUGUGUUGUAUUUUAUGAAGUAUAAUGAAACCUUAAAUAUAGCAUUAGUGUGAAUUUGGAGUUCUAAAAGUUUAGUUUCUCUGGUUUGAAUUUCUGUUUGGAAUAUGGUUAGGAGCAUACUUUCAGAUGUUUGUAAGGAAGUAUAAGGUUUGAAACCUGUUUCAGUUUGUGUUUUAGGUAUGAAAAUGACACACUUACUAUAAGACAGAAUGAUUUGGUUAGAAACAAGUAGUCGAUUUGUAUCAACUUCAACCAGAGGGCAAGACCUAUAUCUUUUGGUAGGGUCUUUAGAAUACGUGAAAAUAGCCUUGGACUUAGGAAAUGUUAGUUUUCUAGGGGCAAGCCUUAAGUUUUCUAGGGCAUAGAUGUUUGUUGAGAAUGAUCAGUUUGUGAAUUAAGCUUAUUAACUAAAGUUUUGGGGGGCUAUGGAGGGGCAGAGAUUAGUGUUAGAUUUAGAGCAUAAUUAUUUUUCUGCUAAUCACUGUUUCUAAGCUGUUAAUAACCUUAAAGCAGAUAGGGGCAACUUUGUUUUCUUUUUCAUUAUGGCAAAAAAGAAAACAAAAAAUCAGACUUACAGUGCAUGUGUUAUAUGAAAAAUUCUGAGGCAAAAAGGAGCCAGUUUAAUUGCUUGUACAAUGUCAAGCAGAUGAAAUAUGGAAGAGUACAAUACAUACUUCUAGAGUUUUCAGGAGAAAAUGAGUUUUUAAAAGUAUGUAAUUUUAUUGCCACAUUAAAUACCAGAAGAAUGGAGGAUGUUAUUGGGCUUUUCAGUUUCUUGUAGAGAUGACAGUAUCAUUUUGUAUAAUCUUAUUUUGCAGCUGGUGGGCAGGGGGAUUUACCAAGACCAAUUAGGAAGAAUGCUAAUCCUUUCCAGUUCCUAAAAGAACUAAGGCGGUUUUCUUCCAAACAUAUAACUAGUAUGGGGGUCACAGUUUUCUAACGUGAAAGUCAGGAGUUUCACCCGUUGCUAUUCUGUUUGCUGACUAGGACCAGAAAAUAACACAGAGAAAAAUGAAAAUUAGUAAGGACUGACAUGGCUGGUUCAAUAGCUUUUCAAGACUUUCCCCUGGACUACCAACAUGUUUCUUUCAUGUGGUUUCCUGCACUAGAGAGGACUCAGUGGGUGUUUAUAUGGCACAGGUUGGAGAACACUAUGGGUAGUCUCAGGGUCUUGAUCAGAAAGGGAUUCUUCAAAGUUUGCAGCAUAGCAUCUUGCUUCAGUGUGGAUACAUUGCCUUCUUCUGUAGUAAAAUCUCUGUCUUCUCCUUAUAAGGACCCUUAUGAUUACAUUCAGGGCUCACCUGGGUAAUCCAGGCUAAUCCCCCCCAUCAAAAUCCUUAAUUUAAUCCUGUCUGCAGAGACCCUCUUGCCAUGUGAGGGAACAUAUUCACAGCUUCUGGGGAACAGAAUGUAUACAUCUUUGGGCCCAUUAUUUAACACAGGUACCAGGGAUUUCUGUACCUGUGAGAU